This is a non-coding RNA of Anas platyrhynchos (mallard), 1658 nucleotides long. The record is from RefSeq and is a predicted model, not a curated record. Lineage: Eukaryota; Metazoa; Chordata; Aves; Anseriformes; Anatidae.
GCUCAACAUUCACAUGUCCUGCCUCACUUAACGAUUCCUCCACAGUUGACCAGCAAGGCUUCAUUUUCCAAGUCUCUUGUACUGCAAGGCUCUUGUAGGAGUUCUGUGGACGCAAGAAGAAAGAUCUUAUCUAGAAGUUUGAUAAAAGAUUAAUGGUGUCCUAUAUGCUGCUGAAUUCCCUUUUAAUCUAUGAAGAAGGCAUCUUUCAUUAGAGAGACUGAUGACUAUUACUACAAAUAUCCCACAGAGCCUUCGAUUAUGCUGGAAGGAGGGUGAAAAUGACAUGCCAGAAGCUACGCAAGAGAGAUGAUGCACAUUAUUCUAAUUUUAUGAGGUUGUAGAUCUUGGGAAAAGGAGAGAUUUAUAACGCCACUCCCUACAAUAAUUAAGAAAGUGUGUGUAUGAUUUAUGUGUAUGUAGUGGGAAGAUGGGGUAAUUUGCUGAAAAUAUCACAGAAAAUAGAAUCUCUGAAUAAAAAUGAUCUGUGCAAUAUGUGUUUUCUCAGGAUACCUCAGAAGAACCCAAAUAUUCUAUACUAGUCAUGAGGUAAAAGUUCAUUUUUCAAAUUGAAAAAUAUCUUUCUGUGCUGCAGAACUCAGCCAUCGUUUUCUCUUUCAUUUCUCAGUGAUUUGGUGCUAGCUAAAAAUACAUGUCAUAUUCAAUGCCACAGAGCCUGAAAAACACCGCUGAUCAGCUGCCAACAUAAUGUUUUAUAAAUCUUGUCAUCUUAAUGUGAGCAGAAAUUAGGUAGGGAUUUUACUUUAAACUAAGCAUAAGCCUGAUUUGUCAGGUCUUUUAAGUGUAGGCUUGCGGGUAUUGCAUAAAUGUCAACUGCAUAUACAGAUCUUGAGGUAGAGUUUGUUAAGGCAAGUUAUUUAAAAAAUAUUUUUAAAAACUGUUGAUACUAUAUUUUGUAAUUUUUUCUUCCCUUCAUUUACAAUUACAGAUUCAGUGUUCAGAUGAUUAUGUGGAAAGUGAAAUAGUGCAAGCGCUUUGAAACAAAUAUGAAGUUUGCUUUCUUUGAUAUUUUACUUUGCACUCAUUCCAAGAACACAUAGGGGAAACAAGCCUUCAUUAAGAAUAAAAUACUAUUUCUAGGGAAAGUUGCAGAUAAAAUCUGGCUGGUUUCAAGAGAAGGAGCAGGGACAGUAAAUUAAUACUUUAUGUUCUCUAUGUUAGCUAAUGUCAGACUUUGUUGCAGGAAUUCUCAUCUGGAAACUUUUUCAACAGAGAAGUAGGUCUUAAGUUUUCUUCUUAAGUAGUUUCCAUUUUCUACAGCAAAAUCUGGAUUUUACUCUUAUUUCUUGUUGUUUUAGGCUAGCAAAAUUCCACUAAUGUUGAAUAAUAUUAUUUGUCCUAAUACAGGAUUUCAUUAGAAAAUUAAAAGUGACACCUUUGGGUCCCUUAUAUGUCCCAUUGUUUGCAUUCAGAGUGAACAUCAAAAGUGCAGGUCUAAUUUUUAGCUUCUUCCUGUACAGCAUCAAUGGACUACUUAUUAAUUUUGAGUCUAAAUGUGAAAACUGGCUUCAUUACCUUAUUCAAAGUUCAUUUAUUUCAAUGAUUCUAUUCUAAUGGUGGGACACCCACUAAUGGCAGUGACCUAUUGCCUUUCAUACAUGUAAUUAUUGUUAAUCUAAUACUCUGUUCUUAAAGCGUGG